Molecule: long non-coding RNA, 443 nt
Organism: Herpailurus yagouaroundi (jaguarundi)
Lineage: Eukaryota; Metazoa; Chordata; Mammalia; Carnivora; Felidae
Exons: 2
Source: RefSeq, a predicted model, not a curated record
UCAAGAGUCAGAUGCUCAACUGACUGAGCCACCCAGGCGCCCCUAUUUUUAAAAAUGUACCGAACGAAGGUUGUAACUCCCUUGACUAAACUACCCUGCUCUCUGUUAGUUCUGCUAUCAGGAAAUUCUUCUGAACAGAAGAGACACCACACUGGCCUGUGGCUUCCUCCCCUGACUUCAGAGCGAGAAGAGCCAACCAUUCUCUGAAGGGCACCUUCUCAGGGAAUCUAUCUUCUCUGCAACCAGGGCCACCACCGACUUACUCUCCAUUUGUCCAAGCCCCGCCCGUCCUCCAGUUCCAGCCCACACCCUCCCACCCCCAUGCUGCUUCCUGAGCAGGAGCCUCAUCCGUACCCCUGGCCUUUGUCUAUAGGAUACCAGACACAUGAAAUGCGUGCUGUGGAUAUUUGCCGAAUGAGCAAAUAAAUAAUAAUCCUCUCCAA